RNAcentral lists this ribosomal RNA (229 nucleotides) under uncultured bacterium. RNAcentral describes it as "partial 16S ribosomal RNA". It matches the Rfam family "Bacterial small subunit ribosomal RNA", at positions 568 to 796 of the family's 1533-position model. The record is from RNAcentral.
UGCGUAGGCGGAAGAUUAAGUCAGUGAUGAAAUCCUGCGGCUCAACCGUAGAACUGUCAUUGAUACUGAUUUUCUUGAAUUCAGUUGAGGUAGGCGGAAUGUGUAAUGUAGCGGUGAAAUGCUUAGAUAUUACACAGAACACCAAUUGCGAAGGCAGCUUACUAAGCUGGGAUUGACGCUGAGGCACGAAAGCGUGGGGAGCGAACAGGAUUAGAUACCCUGGUAGUCC